GUGGGGAAUCUUGCGCAAUGGGCGAAAGCCUGACGCAGCCAUGCCGCGUGAAUGAUGAAGGUCUUAGGAUUGUAAAAUUCUUUCACCGGGGACGAUAAUGACGGUACCCGGAGAAGAAGCCCCGGCUAACUUCGUGCCAGCAGCCGCGGUAAUACGAAGGGGGCUAGCGUUGCUCGGAAUUACUGGGCGUAAAGGGAGCGUAGGCGGACAUUUAAGUCAGGGGUGAAAUCCCGGGGCUCAACCUCGGAAUUGCCUUUGAUACUGGGUGUCUUGAGGAUGAGAGAGGUGUGUGGAACUCCGAGUGUAGAGGUGAAAUUCGUAGAUAUUCGGAAGAACACCAGUGGCGAAGGCGACACACUGGCUCAUUACUGACGCUGAGGCUCGAAAGCGUGGGGAGCAAACAGGAUUAGAAACCCUGGUAGUCC
Molecule: ribosomal RNA, 425 nt
Filed under: uncultured bacterium
Lineage: Bacteria
Description: partial 16S ribosomal RNA
Rfam family: Bacterial small subunit ribosomal RNA
Source: RNAcentral